Molecule: long non-coding RNA, 179 nt
Organism: Triticum dicoccoides
Lineage: Eukaryota; Viridiplantae; Streptophyta; Magnoliopsida; Poales; Poaceae
Exons: 3
Source: RefSeq, a predicted model, not a curated record
CAAAUGCAGAGAGGUGACCAAUAUGCGCAUGUAGUUUUUUUAGGAUCAAGCGAGCGAAGACAUGUAAGUGCAUUUGGAGAUAUAGAGACUAUAAUGGGGGUGUCACAUACAGAACAUCUGGAGAUCAAUAUUGUUUAUCUGUGUUCCGCGGAAAAGGAAUAUAUCAAACGGAGUCCAAA